GACGAACGCUGGCGGCGUGCUUAACACAUGCAAGUCGAACGGAAAGGCCCUGCUUUUGUGGGGUGCUCGAGUGGCGAACGGGUGAGUAACACGUGAGUAACCUGCCCUUGACUGUGGGAUAACUUCAGGAAACUGGGGCUAAUACCGGAUAGGAGCUCCUGCUGCAUGGUGGGGGUUGGAAAGUUUCGGCGGUUGGGGAUGGACUCGCGGCUUAUCAGCCUGUUGGUGGGGUAGUGGCUUACCAAGGCUUUGACGGGUAGCCGGCCUGAGAGGGUGACCGGCCACAUUGGGACUGAGGUACGGCCGAGACUCCUACGGGAGGCAGCAGUGGUGAAUAUUGCACAAUGGGCGGAAGCCUGAUGCAGCAACGCCGCGUGCGGGAUGACGGCCUUCGGGUUGUAAACCGCUUUCGCCUGUGACGAAGCGUGAGUGACGGUAAUGGGUAAAGAAGCACCGGCUAACUACGUG
This 468-nucleotide ribosomal RNA is filed under the name uncultured bacterium. Its description in RNAcentral is "partial 16S ribosomal RNA". It matches the Rfam family "Bacterial small subunit ribosomal RNA", at positions 28 to 507 of the family's 1533-position model. The record is from RNAcentral.